This 75-nucleotide transfer RNA is filed under the name Clostridia bacterium. Its description in RNAcentral is "tRNA-Glu". It matches the Rfam family "tRNA". Rfam says of the family: Transfer RNA (tRNA) molecules are approximately 80 nucleotides in length. Their secondary structure includes four short double-helical elements and three loops (D, anti-codon, and T loops). Lineage: Bacteria; Bacillati; Bacillota; Clostridia. The record is from RNAcentral.
GGCCCGUUGGUCAAGCGGUUAAGACUCCGCCCUCUCACGGCGGCGACGAGGGUUCGAUUCCCUUACGGGUCACCA